CCCUGUGAUAAACAGAAUUUUAGAAUAUAAUAUAUGCUGUUGGGAAAAAACGAGACUAAAGCUUCAGCAUCAAAUCAAACUAAAAAGAUUUAUGAUCUAGUCAUGAUAAGAGCUGAACAAUCAAAACGCUAAAUCAGUGAGCUACAUACAGCAAAGAGGUUAUAUUCAGCAUUAUGGACAAGGCCAUCUUUCCAGAAUACUGAACCUGACAACUAUCUCUGAGAAGUAUCCACCACCAACACGGCCAAGAAAGUUGCAGACGCUGAUGAUUGAGACAAAGAUUCUUGGACUGGAAUACCCAAGAGACUCAGAUAUCUGACCCAUAUUAUCAAUGAUUGUAAUACCAGAUCCAGAACCCAAGAUUAGGGAUACAAACGUAAGCCAAAGCUCCGCCUUUCCUAAAGCUUGUAGCAAGGUAGCAGGCUCUCUUUGACUGGAUAAUUCACUUGUGGAGAGAAUGACAGCAGAAUGGGCACUAUUGAUGGAAGUAGCAAGAUAAUGAGCAAGAUUACAGAGCAAAUUAUGAUCAAAGGUUGGUUCAAGUACUCUUCAAAGAGCAAAAAACCCAUCAAAUAAGCAGCCAAGAUGAGGCAAACACCAUAGACAAA
Molecule: long non-coding RNA, 608 nt
Organism: Chenopodium quinoa (quinoa)
Lineage: Eukaryota; Viridiplantae; Streptophyta; Magnoliopsida; Caryophyllales; Amaranthaceae
Exons: 3
Source: RefSeq, a predicted model, not a curated record